GAUUUCUGGAGUGGUGCGGCGAGCCCGCCUCUAGGGGUGAGUGCUUGCCCGCGCCUUCCAUACUUCUGGGUAGCCCCGCUUGCCCUUCACCGGGUGGAGCGGUGUUUUGCCAUCCAGAUCUUUUACUUUGAAAAAAUUAGAGUGUUUAAAGCAGGCGUUUGCUAUGAAUACAUUAGCAUGGAAUAAUAAGAUAGGACUUUGGUUCUAUUUUGUUGGUUUCUAGGACUGAAGUAAUGAUUGAUAGGGACAGUUGGGGGUGCUAGUAUUUAACGGCCAGAGGUGAAAUUCUUGGAUUCGUUAAAGACUAACUUAUGCGAAAGCAUU
Molecule: ribosomal RNA, 324 nt
Filed under: uncultured Limnofila
Lineage: Eukaryota; Cercozoa; Cercomonadida
Description: SSU rRNA
Rfam family: Eukaryotic small subunit ribosomal RNA (bases 109-324)
Source: RNAcentral